Arachis stenosperma is the source of this 3107-nucleotide long non-coding RNA. RefSeq lists it as uncharacterized. The transcript is spliced from 3 exons. The record is from RefSeq and is a predicted model, not a curated record. Lineage: Eukaryota; Viridiplantae; Streptophyta; Magnoliopsida; Fabales; Fabaceae.
CCUUCACUUCCGCUGUGUUACUGAACCAGUACCCAAAGCCACUAAGCAUUUUUCCUAGUUGCUGUAGAAACUAGAAACCCAUCUUCUGUAUGGAGAGCUUCGCCAAGGAUGUCGAGAUAUAGGUGCAAUGUAUCAAUGUCCGAUUAGGCCUCCUCCAUCGACAAAGAGCUCCACCAUUCUUCCAUCUAGGCGGAAGAAGAAGAUAUCUAGCAACGACCGACAGUAUUUUCAAUUGUUAUCAGGUACUCUCUGAAUUGCAUCCUUUUUAAGGGUUGUUCAACAGUGCCUUCAUCUCAGUGGCACUUAACAAUUCUUGAUACAAUUAAACCAUCAGAACAUAAUCUAGGUCUCUUCUGCCGCCCUUCUAUGGAUGAUAGAAAAUGGACCUCUCUUCUAAGGAUGGUUGUAAUAUUUGCUGGUGGUUCAGUGCACAAUUUAUUACCAAGGUUGUUAGAAACUGCCAAGGCUGCUACUCAAUGAUCAAGUUAAUUCCCUUCAAGUGGAGCUCAGCCAAUGCUUCUGCUACCUGGAUGGACAAGGUUUGAAUAUUGUUAGCAUUCCCAGCAAAAAACUUUUCGAAAUUAUCUCUAACAACUGUCGCAGUGGCUCCUAUCCCCUGUCCUUAAAGAAUGUUGCAUCAACAUUGAUCUUAAUCCAUCCCCUAGGAUUUAGUUGCCAGGUAACCCUUGGAAUUCUAGCUCUAUUCUCCUUUGAGUUGUUGUUGGCUAGUUGUUCUAUUGCAUUAAAGAAUUCUUUUUCUAGAGUCUUAGCCUUUAUGAUUGUAGUUGUGGGAUUAACCUCAUAGUUCUUAUAGAUUUCUUGGUUCCUUGUUUUUCAAAACUCCUAUAUUAAGAUAUAAAUACUGCUAAUUCUCCUUCCUGUAUCCCUUCCCUCUUCCCUCUUUAAUUCUCUGAAUUUUUUUAAGAAGCCCAUUUUCAAAAUUAGAGACUGAUUCGUGUAUAGGACAGCAUUGGCAUUGCAUUCCAAACCAAGUUGUCCUUGUCUGUUGACAUAGCAUGAGAACAUGUUCUAUUGUCUCUAUAUCCCUUUCACAUAUUUGGCAAAUAAGAUAUUUCGCAAUCUUUUUCUUGAAAAUAUUUUUAUUUACCACAAGGAUGUUAUUUACUGCCCUCCAAAUAAAAUUCUUUAUCUUCUGAGAGUUUGAAGCCUCCAAACCUUCUUCCAUAGGUCCUUAAAGUUCGCGCUAGACGAGGGGUUAUCGGAAUCUUUUGCCAAACUUUCUUUUUUUGCCACUUGAUAUCCUGUCAUCGCAUUAUAUACUCUAUCCUUGAAUAGAUUCAAAACAAACUAUCCCCCUUGUUAAGAAUUCUGGUUGGAGUUCUAAUAAUAUUUUCUAUUAACUCUUCUGAAAAAGUCAGUCGUAUCUUUUUAAUGUCCCACCUUUCAUUUUCUCUCAUUAACUCACUAACUCUGGUCAGUGAUGUCUGUUUUGUUUCUUAAUUAAUCUUGAUAUUCUUCCCAUUUUCUAUACUCCACCUUCCAUUUCUUCGAAUAAAAUCUCUUCCUUGUAAAAUACUAUUCUAAAUAAGUUUUCUUUUUCUCUUUAGCUUCCCAAAAAUCACAAUCUAAAAAAUAUAAUGCCUUUAAGAUCUGAACCCAUAAUGCAUUAGAAUUUUCCUUUAUCCUCCAAGUUUGCUUAGCUAAGAAAGUUAAAAUUUGAUUCUGAAAAUCCUUAAAUCCUAAUCCUCCAUCUUUUUUAUUGACGCACAAUUUAUUCCAACUCUUCCAAUAAAUCCCCCUUUCUUUUCUUGAGCAUGCCCAGCAGAAUCUCACAAUUCGUGAAUUUAACUACUGACAAAAGAUUUUUGAAAAUUUUACGACAUUCAUGGCUUAACUCGGGAUCACCUGGAUAACUUCUUUGAUAAGGAUCUCUUUACCUGCUUGGUUCAAAAAUUUUCCUUCCACCCUUCUACUUUCUCCAUAACCUUUUCCUUUAUCCAUUCUAAUGCCUUAACCUUAGAUCUUCCCCAUUGAUAAGCUAGCCCUAGAUACUUACCUGGAUUAUCCUAGAUUUUGAUGCCAAAGAUAUCUUUAAUAUUAACUCUUGUCUAUAAAGGCAUCCAAUUUUCAAAUGUUAUACCCGAUCUCUCAAGGUUUAUCAUCUGUCUGGAUGCUUUAGUGUAGUUAAUUAAAAUCAAAUUUUGAUUGUAGACUUCGUUCUUCUUAGCCUCCAAAAAAUAAUACAAUUAUCCACAAACAUAAACUAAGUUAUAGGAGGUGCAUUUAGAGCAAUCUUUAGACUUGAAAUCUCUUCCUUCAUUCUAGCCUCCUCCAUUAAUACAGUGAAAACUUCAGCCACAAUGAUAUUGUUAGACAGACUUCCAUUAAUUUUCACCUUAUAGUUAGCACUCCUAACACAGCUCAUAUGCAACUGCACCCAAUAUUGAUUAAAGCUAAUAUCUUUAUGAAUUAUUCUCUACAUACAAGCGUUUUUCCCAUACAAGUCUUUACAAGUCAUUUAUAUUCACGCGCUUCGUGCUGUUACUGCACGUUCUUCUUCUUCUUUUUCGUUAUCAUCAUCAUCAAUACCACCUCUUCCUCCUCCUCCUCCUCCUCCUUUUCCUCCUUCUUUUUUCAUUGGAAUUUCUUCUCCUCCUUUUAUUGUUUUGAAUCCAAUCAAGUGGAGGUGUGGUUCAAUUCAGAAGAAAAAAUGUAGCAUUAGAGGAAAUAUUUUUCUGUAUUUACAGCAAAUUUGGGUGUAACACUGAGAUAUUUGAGUAUAACACGAAGAUAUUUGGAUGUAUUUUUAUUCUGAUAAGUUCUGCAUAAUUCAAAAUUCUUUUUCUUCCUCCUUCUCAUCUUUUACUGCUUCUUUUUUUUAUCAUCAUCACCAUAUUCUUUUUCUUUUUUUCUUAUUCAUCUUUUUCUUUUUGUUUUACUUUCUCAAGUUUUUUCUUGUUUUACUCUCUUAACAAAAAUAUAAACAAAAAAAUCAAACAAAGAAGAAGAAACACAUAAUGCUGCAAAAUUACUUGGAAGAGGAUGAACUUACAUUCAUUUAACUAAAAGAAAGAAAGAAAUAACGAAAAAAAGAAGAAGAAAAAAAUGCAGCAUUAGAGAAAAUAUUUUUCUGUAUUUGCAGCAAA